CCUACGGGUGGCUGCAGUGGGGAAUAUUGCACAAUGGGGGAAACCCUGAUGCAGCGACGCCGCGUGAGUGAAGAAGUAACUCGUUACGUAAAGCUCUAUCAGCAGGGAAGAAAAUGACGGUACCUGAGGAAGAAGCCCCGGCUAACUACGUGCCAGCAGCCGCGGUAAUACGUAGGGGGCAAGCGUUAUCCGGAUUUACUGGGUGUAAAGGGGGCGUAGACGGUGCGCCAAGUCUGGAGUGAAAUGCCGCCGCUUAACUGGGAAACUGCAUUGGAAACUGCUGAACUAGAGUGCAGGAGGGGUAGGCGGAAUUCCUAGUGUAGCGGUGAAAUGCGUAGAUAUUAGGAGGAACACCAGUGGCGAAGGCGGCUUACUGGACCGUAACUGACGUUGAGGCUCGAAAGCGUGGGGAGCAAACAGGAUUAGAUACCCGUGUAGUC
Molecule: ribosomal RNA, 440 nt
Filed under: uncultured bacterium
Lineage: Bacteria
Description: partial 16S ribosomal RNA
Rfam family: Bacterial small subunit ribosomal RNA
Source: RNAcentral